This 624-nucleotide ribosomal RNA is filed under the name Triticum aestivum (bread wheat). RNAcentral's name for it is "partial small subunit ribosomal RNA". The record is from RNAcentral. Lineage: Eukaryota; Viridiplantae; Streptophyta; Magnoliopsida; Poales; Poaceae.
AUGCUCAGGAUCAAGGACGAGGAUGGCCUUGAGUUCCCCAUCAGCACCACAAACAUCAAGGCAAUCAUAGUGGAUAUGUUCACGGGAGGGACCGAGACAACAUCAUCAGCCGCCGAGUGGAUCAUGUCGGAGCUCAUGCGAAACCCGGAGGUGAUCGCGAAGGCGCAGGCCGAGGUGCGACAAACACUCGACAACAAGAACCCACGAGACCAGGAGAGCCUCAUAGAGGGGCUGUGCUACACGAGGAUGGUGGUGAAGGAGGGCUUGAGGCUGCACCCGGUGCUGCCGCUCCUGCUCCCACGUGUCUGCCGGGAGACCUGCGACGUCGGCGGAUUCGAGGUCACGGAGGGCACCAGGGUCAUGGUUAACGCGUGGGCGAUAGCGAGGAGCGCCGAACAUUGGCACGACGCGGAGGAGUUUAGGCCGGAGAGUUCGUGGAUAGCACGGCGACAGACUACACCGGCACGCGGUACGAGUAUUUGCCGUUCGGCAGCGGGAGGAGGAUGUGCCCCGGCGGCAACUUUGCGAUGGCCACGCUGGAGCUCACUGUGGCACGGCUUCUCUACUACUUCGACUGGAGCCUCCCGAACGGGAUUCGACCGGAGGAGCUCGACAUGGACAUGA